Dreissena polymorpha is the source of this 127-nucleotide small nucleolar RNA. RefSeq annotates it as small nucleolar RNA SNORA17. Lineage: Eukaryota; Metazoa; Mollusca; Bivalvia; Myida; Dreissenidae. The record is from RefSeq and is a predicted model, not a curated record. The transcript has a single exon.
GUUGCCCAUGUGUUGCCUCUGUGACUAUGUUGUCACAGUGGGUGUCAAACUGUGGCACACAUCAUCAUGCUGGUCUCCACACACUGCACAGCCCAGUGUACAGUGUACUAGUAUACUAGCUGACACU